This 497-nucleotide ribosomal RNA is filed under the name uncultured bacterium. Its description in RNAcentral is "partial 16S ribosomal RNA". It matches the Rfam family "Bacterial small subunit ribosomal RNA", at positions 28 to 507 of the family's 1533-position model. The record is from RNAcentral.
GGUGAACGCUGGCGGCGUGCCUAAUACAUGCAAGUCGAGCGAACAGACGAGGAGCUUGCUCCUCUGACGUUAGCGGCGGACGGGUGAGUAACACGUGGAUAACCUACCUAUAAGACUGGGAUAACUUCGGGAAACCGGAGCUAAUACCGGAUAAUAUAUUGAACCGCAUGGUUCAAUAGUGAAAGACGGUUUUGCUGUCACUUAUAGAUGGAUCCGCGCCGCAUUAGCUAGUUGGUAAGGUAACGGCUUACCAAGGCAACGAUGCGUAGCCGACCUGAGAGGGUGAUCAGCCACACUGGAACUGAAACACGGUCCAGACUCCUACGGGAGGCAGCAGUAGGGAAUCUUACGCAAUGGGCGAAAGCCUGACGGAGCAACGCCGCGUGAGUGAUGAAGGUCUUCGGAUCGUAAAACUCUGUUAUUAGGGAAGAACAAAUGUGUAAGUAACUAUGCACGUCUUGACGGUACCUAAUCAGAAAGCCACGGCUAACUACGUG